GCGGGCCUGCGCUUUCUGCCCUCCUCUUCCGGACUCUCCCUGGGCUGACUCGGCAAUACCCCGGCUGUACCCAGGCUGUACCCCGCAGGCUUCCAUGCUGCUCCUCCCACAAGCCCGACAGGAAAGGACACAGACAGAGACAGAGGAAGAGGCCACAGGAGGAUGGAGUGACAGGUGUCCAGGCCGAGGAACACCAAGGAUGGCCAGCAGCCACCAUCAGCUAGGAGGGGGGCCUGGGACAGUUCUUCCCCACAGCUUCCAGAAGAAAUCCACCUUGCUAACACCUUGACUUCACACCCUGGCCUCACGAACUGCAAGACAUUUCUGUUGUUUUAAGUCCCCCAAUUAUGGUAAUUCCUUAUGGCAAUCUGAGGAAAUGAAUAAACUGCGUCUUGUUCUA
Long non-coding RNA from Tupaia belangeri chinensis (Chinese tree shrew), 400 nucleotides. RefSeq lists it as uncharacterized. The record is from RefSeq and is a predicted model, not a curated record. The transcript has 2 exons. Lineage: Eukaryota; Metazoa; Chordata; Mammalia; Scandentia; Tupaiidae.